RNAcentral lists this ribosomal RNA (497 nucleotides) under uncultured bacterium. Its description in RNAcentral is "partial 16S ribosomal RNA". It matches the Rfam family "Bacterial small subunit ribosomal RNA", at positions 28 to 507 of the family's 1533-position model. The record is from RNAcentral.
GAUGAACGCUGGCGGCGUGCCUAAUACCUGCAAGUCGAGCGAACGGACGAGAAGCUUGCUUCUCUGAUGUUAGCGGCGGACGGGUGAGUAACACGUGGAUAACCUACCUAUAAGACUGGGAUAACUUCGGGAAACCGGAGCUAAUACCGGAUAAUAUUUUGAACCGCAUGGUUCAAAAGUGAAAGACGGUCUUGCUGUCACUUAUAGAUGGAUCCGCGCUGCAUUAGCUAGUUGGUAAGGUAACGGCUUACCAAGGCAACGAUGCAUAGCCGACCUGAGAGGGUGAUCGGCCACACUGGAACUGAGACACGGUCCAGACUCCUACGGGAGGCAGCAGUAGGGAAUCUUACGCGAUGGGCGAAAGCCUGACGGAGCAACGCCGCGGGAGUGAUGAAGGUCUUCGGAUCGUAAAACUCUGUUAUUAGGGAAGAACAUAUGUGUAAGUAACUGUGCACAUCUUGACGGUACCUAAUCAGAAAGCCACGGCUAACUACGUG